Molecule: ribosomal RNA, 234 nt
Filed under: uncultured Septoglomus
Lineage: Eukaryota; Fungi; Glomeromycota; Glomeromycetes; Glomerales; Glomeraceae
Description: partial small subunit ribosomal RNA
Rfam family: Eukaryotic small subunit ribosomal RNA
Source: RNAcentral
UUUGGAGGGCAAGUCUGGUGCCAGCAGCCGCGGUAAUUCCAGCUCAUAGCGUAUAUUAAGUUGUUGCAGUUAAAAAGCUCGUAGUUGAAUUUCGGGAUCAAUUUGUUGGUCGUGCCUCGGUACGUACUGGCAUUAUUGGUUUCUCCCUUCUGAAGAACCUUGAUGUCAUUAAUUUGGUGUCUUGGGGAAUCAGGACUGUUACUUUGAAAAAAUUAGAGUGUUUAAAGCAGGCAA